RNAcentral lists this transfer RNA (67 nucleotides) under Phytophthora infestans T30-4. It matches the Rfam family "tRNA". From Rfam's summary of the family: Transfer RNA (tRNA) molecules are approximately 80 nucleotides in length. The record is from Rfam by way of RNAcentral. Lineage: Eukaryota; Oomycota; Peronosporomycetes; Peronosporales; Peronosporaceae.
GGGCGCGCAGUGGUAGCGCGUCCGCUUUGCAAGCGGAAGGCCCCGGGUUCAAUCCCCGGUGUGUCCA